Molecule: non-coding RNA, 114 nt
Filed under: Carboxydothermus hydrogenoformans
Lineage: Bacteria; Bacillati; Bacillota; Clostridia; Thermoanaerobacterales; Thermoanaerobacteraceae
Also listed under: 1 other name
Description: TPP sequence
Rfam family: TPP riboswitch aptamer (THI element)
About the family: Vitamin B(1) in its active form thiamin pyrophosphate (TPP) is an essential coenzyme that is synthesised by coupling of pyrimidine and thiazole moieties in bacteria. The previously detected thiamin-regulatory element, thi box was extended, resulting in a new, highly conserved RNA secondary structure, the THI element, which is widely distributed in eubacteria and also occurs in some archaea.
Source: RNAcentral
AAAAAACCUCAGGGGUGCCGGAUGAGCCCGGCUGAGAAGGCUUCGCGAUGAAGAAGUCUACCCUUUGAACCUGCUCUGGGUAAUGCCAGCGGAGGGAGAGGAAAUAAUGAUAAG